RNAcentral lists this ribosomal RNA (497 nucleotides) under uncultured bacterium. RNAcentral describes it as "partial 16S ribosomal RNA". It matches the Rfam family "Bacterial small subunit ribosomal RNA", at positions 28 to 507 of the family's 1533-position model. The record is from RNAcentral.
GAUGAACGCUGGCGGCGUGCCUAAUACAUGCAAGUCGAGCGAACGGACGAGAAGCUUGCUUCUCUGAUGUUAGCGGCGGACGGGUGAGUAACACGUGGAUAACCUACCUAUAAGACUGGGAUAACUUCGGGAAACCGUAGCUAAUACCGGAUAAUAUUUUGAACCGCAUGGUUCAAAAGUGAAAGACGGUCUUGCUGUCACUUAUAGAUGGAUCCGCGCUGCAUUAGCUAGUUGGUAAGGUAACGGCUUACCAAGGCAACGAUGCAUAGCCGACCUGAGAGGGUGAUCGGCCACACUGGAACUGAGGCACGGUCCAGACUCCUACGGGAGGCAGCAGUAGGGAAUCUUCCGCAAUGGGCGAAAGCCUGACGGAGCAACGCCGCGUGAGUGAUGAAGGUCUUCGGAUCGUAAAACUCUGUUAUUAGGGAAGAACAUAUGUGUAAGUAACUGUUCACAUCUUGACGGUACCUAAUCAGAAAGCCACGGCUAACUACGUG